UGAGGUGUGGCUCAGUGGUAGAGCGCUGGCCUAGCAUGUGUGAGGCACUGGGUUCAAUUCUCAGCACCACAU
Molecule: transfer RNA, 72 nt
Filed under: Urocitellus parryii (Arctic ground squirrel)
Lineage: Eukaryota; Metazoa; Chordata; Mammalia; Rodentia; Sciuridae
Also listed under: 2 other names
Description: Spermophilus parryii (Arctic ground squirrel) tRNA
Rfam family: tRNA
About the family: Transfer RNA (tRNA) molecules are approximately 80 nucleotides in length. Their secondary structure includes four short double-helical elements and three loops (D, anti-codon, and T loops).
Source: Rfam by way of RNAcentral